RNAcentral lists this ribosomal RNA (492 nucleotides) under uncultured bacterium. RNAcentral's name for it is "partial 16S ribosomal RNA". It matches the Rfam family "Bacterial small subunit ribosomal RNA", at positions 29 to 507 of the family's 1533-position model. The record is from RNAcentral.
AGUGAACGCUGGCGGUAGGCCUAACACAUGCAAGUCGAACGGCAGCACAGUAAGAGCUUGCUCUUACGGGUGGCGAGUGGCGGACGGGUGAGGAAUACAUCGGAAUCUACUUUUUCGUGGGGGAUAACGUAGGGAAACUUACGCUAAUACCGCAUACGACCUACGGGUGAAAGCAGGGGAUCUUCGGACCUUGCGCGAUUGAAUGAGCCGAUGUCGGAUUAGCUAGUUGGCGGGGUAAAGGCCCACCAAGGCGACGAUCCGUAGCUGGUCUGAGAGGAUGAUCAGCCACACUGGAACUGAGACACGGUCCAGACUACUAAGGGAGGCAGCAGUGGGGAAUAUUGGACAAUGGGCGCAAGCCUGAUCCAGCCAUACCGCGUGGGUGAAGAAGGCCUUCGGGUUGUAAAGCCCUUUUGUUGGGAAAGAAAAGCAGCAGGUUAAUACCCAGCUGUUCUGACGGUACCCAAAGAAUAAGCACCGGCUAACUUCGUG